This 431-nucleotide ribosomal RNA is filed under the name uncultured bacterium. Its description in RNAcentral is "partial 16S ribosomal RNA". It matches the Rfam family "Bacterial small subunit ribosomal RNA", at positions 29 to 507 of the family's 1533-position model. The record is from RNAcentral.
AACGAACGCUGGCGGCAGGCUUAACACAUGCAAGUCGAACGCCCCGCAAGGGGAGUGGCAGACGGGUGAAUAACGCGUGGGAACAUACCCUUUUCUACGGAAUAGCUCUGGGAAACUGGAAUUAAUACCGUAUACGCCCUACGGGGGAAAGAUUUAUCGGGGAAGGAUUGGCCCGCGUUGGAUUAGCUAGUUGGUGGGGUAAAGGCCUACCAAGGCGACGAUCCAUAGCUGGUCUGAGAGGAUGAUCAGCCACAUUGGGACUGAGACACGGCCCAAACUCCUACGGGAGGCAGCAGUGGGGAAUAUUGGACAAUGGGCGCAAGCCUGAUCCAGCCAUGCCGCGUGAGUGAUGAAGGCCUUAGGGUUGUAAAGCUCUUUCACCGAUGAAGAUAAUGACGGUAGUCGGAGAAGAAGCCCCGGCUAACUUCGUG